ACACUCCUGCGGGAGGCAGCAGUGGGGAAUUUUGGACAAUGGGCGAAAGCCUGAUCCAGCAAUGCCGCGUGAGUGAAGAAGGCCUUCGGGUUGUAAAGCUCUUUUGUCAGGGAAGAAACGGUGAAAGCUAAUAUCUUUUGCUAAUGACGGUACCUGCAGAAUAAGCACCGGCUAACUACGUGCCAGCAGCCGCGGUAAUACGUAGGGUGCAAGCGUUAAUCGGAAUUACUGGGCGUAAAGCGUGCGCAGGCGGUUUUGUAAGUCUGAUGUGAAAUCCCCGGGCUCAACCUGGGAAUUGCAUUGGAGACUGCAAGGCUAGAAUCUGGCAGAGGGGGGUAGAAUUCCACGUGUAGCAGUGAAAUGCGUAGAUAUGUGGAGGAACACCGAUGGCGAAGGCAGCCCCCUGGGUCAAGAUUGACGCUCAUGCACGAAAGCGUGGGGAGCAAACAGGAUUAGAAACCCGUGUAGUCCCA
Molecule: ribosomal RNA, 473 nt
Filed under: uncultured organism
Description: partial 16S ribosomal RNA
Rfam family: Bacterial small subunit ribosomal RNA
Source: RNAcentral